GACGAACGCUGGCGGCGUGCUUAACACAUGCAAGUCGAACGGAAAGGCUCCAGCUUGCUGGCGUACUCGAGUGGCGAACGGGUGAGUAACACGUGGGUAAUCUGCCCUGCACUCUGGGAUAAGCCUGGGAAACUGGGUCUAAUACUGGAUAUGACCUUUCUCCUUAUGGGGUUUGGUGGAAAGUUUUUCGGUGUAGGAUGAGCCCGCGGCCUAUCAACUUGUUGGUGGGGUGAUGGCCUACCAAGGCGACGACGGGUAGCCGGCCUGAGAGGGUGAUCGGCCACAUUGGGACUGAGAUACGGCCCAGACUCCUACGGGAGGCAGCAGUGGGGAAUAUUGCACAAUGGGCGGAAGCCUGAUGCAGCGACGCCGCGUGAGGGAUGACGGCCUUCGGGUUGUAAACCUCUUUCAGCAGGGACGAAGCGUAAGUGACGGUACCUGCAGAAGAAGCACCGGCUAACUAUGUG
RNAcentral lists this ribosomal RNA (467 nucleotides) under uncultured bacterium. Its description in RNAcentral is "partial 16S ribosomal RNA". It matches the Rfam family "Bacterial small subunit ribosomal RNA", at positions 28 to 507 of the family's 1533-position model. The record is from RNAcentral.